CCUAUGAUGACGGUACCGUUUGUAAGCUCCGGCUAACUCCGUGCCAGCAGCCGCGGUAAUACGGGGGGAGCAAGCGUUGUUCGGAUUUACUGGGCGUAAAGGGCGCGUAGGCGGUCAGCACAAGUCAGUUGUGAAAUCUCCGAGCUUAACUCGGAAAGGUCAACUGAUACUGUGCGACUAGAGUGCGGAAGGGGCAACUGGAAUUCUUGGUGUAGCGGUGAAAUGCGUAGAUAUCAAGAGGAACACCUGCGGCGAAGGCGGGUUGCUGGGCCGACACUGACGCUGAGGCGCGAAAGCCAGGGGAGCGAACGGGAUUAGAUACCCCGGUAGUCCUGGCCUUAAACGAUGAAUGCUUGGUGUCUGGGGUUAUAAAGUCCCCGGGUGCCGUCGCUAACGCUUUAAGCAUUCCGCCUGGGGAGUACGGUCGCAAGACUGAAACUCAAAGG
This 446-nucleotide ribosomal RNA is filed under the name uncultured bacterium. Its description in RNAcentral is "bacterial SSU rRNA". It matches the Rfam family "Bacterial small subunit ribosomal RNA", at positions 463 to 907 of the family's 1533-position model. The record is from RNAcentral.